Molecule: transfer RNA, 85 nt
Filed under: Felis catus (domestic cat)
Lineage: Eukaryota; Metazoa; Chordata; Mammalia; Carnivora; Felidae
Rfam family: tRNA
About the family: Transfer RNA (tRNA) molecules are approximately 80 nucleotides in length.
Source: Rfam by way of RNAcentral
GCCUGGGUGGCUCAGUUGGUUGAGUGUCUGACUUCAGCUCAGGUCACGAUCUCAUGGUCCGUGAGUUCAAGCCCCGCGUCGGGCU